Brassica oleracea var. oleracea is the source of this 453-nucleotide long non-coding RNA. RefSeq lists it as uncharacterized. The record is from RefSeq and is a predicted model, not a curated record. Lineage: Eukaryota; Viridiplantae; Streptophyta; Magnoliopsida; Brassicales; Brassicaceae. The transcript has 3 exons.
UCUUGAUCUGAAAAAUAUAUAAAAAAACAAUAAUAGAAUCAGAAAAUAUUGCAGAGAAGGAGGAGCAAGAUCAACGAGAAAAUGAAAUCUUUGCAGAAGCUGAUACCCAAUUCCAACAAGACAGAUAAAGCCUCAAUGCUUGAUGAAGCUAUAGAAUAUCUGAAGCAGCUUCAACUUCAAGUGCAGACUUUAGCUGUUAUGAAUGGUUUAGGCCUAAACUCUAUGCGACUACCACCAGUUCUACCGUCUACGCAUACAAGGUUCAAAUGGAACCUUACAACAAGAGCAGCACUUUGAGACUCUGCUUGGUGCUCCUCACUCGAUGGUUAACCGUGAACCACCCCAAGCAACUCAGGAAAUGUGCUUUUCCACAGGCACGCUGCUUUGAAGACAAAGAUGAUUCGAAGUCAACAUCUCCGGCUUAGUACACUACCAAACAGUAGUCAAAACUGU